CUGGUAACUAGUGCUGGGUGUUGGGAAAAAGGCUGUUCUGGGGAGAUAUUUUGGUGGGUGAAGGUAAAUAAAGGAGUCAAAAGUGAAAAUGAGAGAAGGAGAUGGAGUUUCCAGCCUUAUGAAUUAAGUUGUGUGCAUCUGUAACCGAAGGAGGCCUGUCUCAGUGGCAGCAAUAGUUCUUUUGGUCCUGGAGAACUCUUCCUCUUGACAGAGGUCUACAAACAGAUUUGCAAAGCCAAAAAGAGAAAUUGCCCUCUCUCAUGCAGCAUUCAACUUUCCAUUUUCUUCUGGUUCUUGAAUGUAGAAUUGCAUUUUAUUUUAUUCACUUGGAAAUCCUGCUCUUUAAAAUGAAGAGCCAUUCAAAACACAUAAAAGAUCCUGUGAGACACAUAAGUGUUUUUAGCUGCAAGCAAUUUUACUGAAAGACUGGAGAAGAGAUGUGGCACAUUCCUUGUAUGAAAUGUUGUAUAAAGAUAUUAAGGAUGUGUGUCCAUACUGCUGAAUAAAAGGACGACAAAAUGCCAAAAAA
Molecule: long non-coding RNA, 529 nt
Organism: Oxyura jamaicensis (ruddy duck)
Lineage: Eukaryota; Metazoa; Chordata; Aves; Anseriformes; Anatidae
Exons: 2
Source: RefSeq, a predicted model, not a curated record